Small nucleolar RNA from Pygocentrus nattereri (red-bellied piranha), 215 nucleotides. Its record names the gene U3. It matches the Rfam family "Small nucleolar RNA U3". From Rfam's summary of the family: Small nucleolar RNAs (snoRNAs) are involved in the processing and modification of rRNA in the nucleolus. There are two main classes of snoRNAs: the box C/D class, and the box H/ACA class. NCBI's taxonomy places the organism in Eukaryota, Metazoa, Chordata, Actinopteri, Characiformes, Serrasalmidae. The record is from Ensembl.
AAGACUAUGCUUUCAGGGAUCAUUUCUAUAGUUUCUGACUUGGAAGUUUGAUUUGAAAGUGUAACGUCUCUCUAACCACGAUGACGAGUUAAGAUGCUUUCUUCUGAGCGUGAAUCGGGUGGUGAGCGACGAGCGAGAUUGUCUGCUCUCUGUCAGUUGAUGAACGUUCCUGCUGUGCUUUGCAGUCUGGAAGAAGAAAGCAUGUUCAGAGUGGU